CCUACGGGUGGCAGCAGUGAGGAAUAUUGGUCAAUGGGCGCGAGCCUGACCCAGCCACGUAGCGUGAAGGAUGACUGCCCUACGGGUUGUAAACUUCUUUUAUAAAGGAAUAAAGUGAGGCACGUGUGCCUUUUUGUGUGUACUUUAUGACUAAGGAUCGGCUAACUCCGUGCCAGACGCCUCGGUAGUACGGAGGAUCCGCGCGUUAUCCGGAUUUAUUGGGGGUGACGGGAGCGUAGAUGGGUGCGUAAGUCCGGUGUGAAAGUUUGCGGCUCAACCGUAAAAUUGCAAUUGAUACUGGCAGCCUUGAGUACAGUUGAGGUAGGUGGAAUUCGUGGUGUAGCGGUGAAAUGCUUAGAUAUCACGAAGAACUCCGAUUGCGAAGGCAGGUUACUAAACUGCCACUGACAUUGAUGCUCGAAAGUGUGGGUAUCAAACAGGAUUAGAUACCCCUGUAGUC
Molecule: ribosomal RNA, 460 nt
Filed under: uncultured bacterium
Lineage: Bacteria
Description: partial 16S ribosomal RNA
Rfam family: Bacterial small subunit ribosomal RNA
Source: RNAcentral